Molecule: ribosomal RNA, 465 nt
Filed under: uncultured bacterium
Lineage: Bacteria
Description: bacterial SSU rRNA
Rfam family: Bacterial small subunit ribosomal RNA
Source: RNAcentral
CCUACGGGAGGCACCAGUGGGGAAUAUUGCACAAUGGGCGCAAGCCUGAUGCAGCCAUGCCGCGUGUAUGAAGAAGGCCUUCGGGUUGUAAAGUACUUUCAGCGGGGAGGAAGGUGUUGUGGUUAAUAACCACAGCAAUUGACGUUACCCGCAGAAGAAGCACCGGCUAACUCCGUGCCAGCAGCCGCGGUAAUACGGAGGGUGCAAGCGUUAAUCGGAAUUACUGGGCGUAAAGCGCACGCAGGCGGUCUGUCAAGUCGGAUGUGAAAUCCCCGGGCUCAACCUGGGAACUGCAUUCGAAACUGGCAGGCUAGAGUCUUGUAGAGGGGGGUAGAAUUCCAGGUGUAGCGGUGAAAUGCGUAGAGAUCUGGAGGAAUACCGGUGGCGAAGGCAGCCCCCUGGGAUAACACUGACGCUCAUGCACGAAAGCGUGGGGAGCAAACAGGAUUAGAUACCCCUGUAGUC